GCCCCGGUAGCUCAGUGGAUAGAGCGUCUGCCUCCGGAGCAGAAGGUCGCAGGUUCGAAUCCUGUCCGGGGCGCCA
RNAcentral lists this transfer RNA (76 nucleotides) under Actinomyces naeslundii. Its description in RNAcentral is "tRNA-Arg". It matches the Rfam family "tRNA". Rfam says of the family: Transfer RNA (tRNA) molecules are approximately 80 nucleotides in length. Their secondary structure includes four short double-helical elements and three loops (D, anti-codon, and T loops). Lineage: Bacteria; Bacillati; Actinomycetota; Actinomycetes; Actinomycetales; Actinomycetaceae. The record is from RNAcentral. RNAcentral also lists the same sequence under 6 other names.